This 449-nucleotide ribosomal RNA is filed under the name uncultured bacterium. RNAcentral describes it as "partial 16S ribosomal RNA". It matches the Rfam family "Bacterial small subunit ribosomal RNA", at positions 29 to 523 of the family's 1533-position model. The record is from RNAcentral.
AACGAACGCUGGCGGCAUGCCUAACACAUGCAAGUCGAACGAGAGCUUCGGCUCUAGUGGCGCACGGGUGCGUAACGCGUGGGAAUCUGCCCUUGGGUUCGGAAUAACAGUUGGAAACGACUGCUAAUACCGGAUGAUGACGUAAGUCCAAAGAUUUAUCGCCCUGGGAUGAGCCCGCGUCGGAUUAGCUAGUUGGUGGGGUAAAGGCCUACCAAGGCGACGAUCCGUAGCUGGUCUGAGAGGAUGAUCAGCCACACUGAGACUGAGACACGGCCCAGACUCCUACGGGAGGCAGCAGUGGGGAAUAUUGGACAAUGGGCGCAAGCCUGAUCCAGCAAUGCCGCGUGAGUGAUGAAGGCCUUAGGGUUGUAAAGCUCUUUUACCCGGGAAGAUAAUGACUGUACUGGGAGAAUAAGCCCCGGCUAACUCCGUGCCAGCAGCCGCAGUAA